CCUACGGGAGGCAGCAGUGGGGAAUAUUGGUCAAUGGGCGAAAGCCUUACCCAGCAAAGUCGCGUGAAUGAUGAAGGAUCUAUGAUUGGAAAACUUCUUUUAUAUGGGAGUAAAGUGAGGAACGUGUUCCUUUAUGUGUGUACCAUAUGUAUAUGGAUCGGCUAACUCCGUGCCAGCAGCCGCGGUAAUACGGAGGAUCCGAGCGUUGUCCGGAUUGAUUGGGUUUAAAGGGAACGUAGGUGGGUUGUUAAGUCAGUUGUGAAAGUUUGCGGCUAAACCGUAAAAUUGCAGUUGAAACUGGCAGUCUUGAGUACAGUAGAGGUGGGCGGAAUUCGUGGUGUAGCGGUGAAAUGCGUAGAUAUCACGAAGAACUCCGAUGGCGAAGGCAGUUCACUGGACUGCAACUGACACUGAGGCUCGAAAGUGUGGGUAUCAAACAGGAUUAGAUACCCGGGUAGUC
This 460-nucleotide ribosomal RNA is filed under the name uncultured bacterium. RNAcentral's name for it is "partial 16S ribosomal RNA". It matches the Rfam family "Bacterial small subunit ribosomal RNA", at positions 338 to 795 of the family's 1533-position model. The record is from RNAcentral.